This is a long non-coding RNA of Triticum dicoccoides, 2395 nucleotides long. RefSeq lists it as uncharacterized. The transcript is spliced from 5 exons. Lineage: Eukaryota; Viridiplantae; Streptophyta; Magnoliopsida; Poales; Poaceae. The record is from RefSeq and is a predicted model, not a curated record.
UGCCCAGCGCCCCACACUUCGCCCCACCUCUUCCCUCCCCGCCAGCCACCGCCUGCCUCCAUCUGCAUGCGCCGCCGGACCGCCGCGUCCACGCGUAGCCCGGACUGCCGCCCACGCUCCAGGCGCCCGGUCCGCCACGCCCACGCUUGAGGCGCCCGGGCCGCCCCGUCCACACUCCAGGCGGAUCGCGGCACCCACGCUCGAGGCUCCCGGGCCGCCCCGUCCAUGCUCCAGGCGGACCACGACGCCAUAGCUCCAGGCGCCCGGACCGCCACGCUCACGCUCCAGCCGCUCGGGCCGCCGCGUCCACGCACUGCCCGGACACAGGCACCGGCGCACCGCCGGUCCUCCACACUGCAGGAUGAGCAAGAGUAAUCCAGAUAAAGUUCCAGGAACGACUACGCAUCGUUCCCCAUUUAAAGACAUAACGAACUCGUCUAUGAUUGAGAAUGCAAAUGUCACUACUAAUAGUCAAGAAGCAAAAAAGAAUACAUUGUAUGCCCGAAUGUCUGAUGAGAAGAGAGCAGCAUUCCUUGAAAAACGUCGUAUGUCCCGACAAGAAAAGAAGUCUCAGGCUCUGAAUAUUGUUAAUGGUCAACUAACAGUUGAGGCACAUGCUCCGUUAGGAUCCAAGGAAUGUACAUCUUUGAGAAGCAUAACCAACACACACACAAAUGGUAUGUUCAUACUCUGCAUAUCAUAAUUAUUGAAUGACCAUUUACUCAUUUUGCUAGGAGGUUUGUCUCCUGCGUUGUGUCAGAUGCAACAUGUACUGAAGCCGCAGGACGCCCUUGAACAGCGGGAUCUGCCGCCUCCCUUGGACUUCGCCGGCAAGGCGUGAUCCGUCGUCGCCACCCCACUCUUCCCACGGGAGGAUGCGGCUGCUAUCAUCAACCUCCGCUCCAUGGGCGUACUCUCAAAUUCAAUAUGUUAGAUUUGCAGAGACUAAUGUUGCAUGACGCAAGAAGAAACAUGUGGUUCUGUUGCGAAUCACCACAGCGAUGCAGUAGGUUUCCAGAUUGAUGCUAUUGUUACUGCACAUGAGGGAAUACAUGGUUAUUAUUUUGACCAUAUCGGUGCCAUGGAAGCUGGAGAAUUUUUAUCUACUAUACUUGUUCGUUGCCUGCAUCAUAUUGCAGUUCCAAAGUCCACAUAAGGAAGUUUAAAUAAUACAUAAUUCAUUGGCGUGUACUCUGUCAUAGGAUGUUGCUUUACAUUUUGGGCGCACCAUGUUUUAACUGAGAAGGCAGUUGUUGGUACAGUUAGAGUUCAAAGAGGUCCUCCAACGAGGGUGUGUCAAAACUCAACUAGGCGCUUCGGUGUCAACUGGUUGGAGGUAGAAUCAGCUUCAAUCUCGAGUACCCAAUUGUAGAGAAGACGAAAGGAGGCACAACAUAUAUGGAAGUACGAACUCUGGCAGUAACAAUUUUAUGUUUCCAAGUUAGGUUGAUGAUAUUCAACUUAAUAGAACCCAAACUUUUGUUGUUGAGUUCAAUAUACAGUGUCCCGUGUAUAGUUUUUAAGGUGUCAUGUUUCUCAAGAGAAUACAUCUGCACGUAAGGAACUAGCUACCGGUAUCAAUCUAAAUGAACAAGCUCAUAAGCAGGCUUUGCUUUUGAUUCAUUCGUUUUAUACUUUUGUUGGAGCAUAGUUCCAUUCAUAUUUUUGAUAUACUUAUUUUUCUGUAUCACUUACAUUUUUUGUUUAGCAAAGUGAUGUCCCUCUUGAAUAAUCAUAUGCUGCUAUCCGUUCAGACAUUGCACUUAGCAAAUGUAAUCUUUUAUGGGAUUAGAUGUGAUUUUCUGUUUUAUUAUACUGAUUGUGACAUCAAUGGGAUAUUGCGUACAAUGUUCUAAUGUUAAGAUGUUGUAAGUACUCACUGUGGUUUCGACAUGAUGCUUGGUAUAUGGAGUCUAUAGUAUCAAUGUGAUGCAUAAGCCUUUCCAAAUUAAAUCAACUUGUAUGAAUUCUUUCCUCUCUUAUCGCAUGCUUAAGUUUCUUGCUCGUGUUUAGUAUGAUGCGCAAGAGAGUUGAUGCCCACCGAGUUCCAACUCUGAAAGAUGUGCAUCUCAUUAUACCUAAAGCACACCCCAAGUAGCAAAUCCUGAAUGGGAUGAUGUCUUUUUUUCUUCUGCCGUCGUCGAUUACCAGCUCGUGUUCCAAAAAACAAAGACAACUGACUACCUUUCAAACCACUAAAGCAUAUUAUUUAGUUUUUCUAACGCUCAAGAUAAUGAUAAUGCAUAUAUCUACAAGAACUGGUCUGAUUAUUUUGCUUUUAGUUUAUUGCACUCAUGGAAUGCGAAGGAACUAAAUCAACCAAUUUGCAGGGUCAAUAUUCAUUAUUUCAUGAUUUUAUGUUCUACUAUGCAAAAACUUAGAUUGACUUGCUAUU